AGGUGUAGUAGAUGUAGUAGGUGUAGUAGAUGUAGUAGGUGUAGUAGGUGUAGUAGAUGUAGUAGGUGUAGUAGAUGUAGUAGGUGUAGUAGGUGUAGUAGAUGUAGUAGGUGUAGUAG
Oncorhynchus keta (chum salmon) is the source of this 119-nucleotide long non-coding RNA. RefSeq lists it as uncharacterized. The record is from RefSeq and is a predicted model, not a curated record. NCBI's taxonomy places the organism in Eukaryota, Metazoa, Chordata, Actinopteri, Salmoniformes, Salmonidae. The transcript is spliced from 3 exons.